GGGGAUGUAGCUCAAACGGUACAGCGCUCACUUUGCAUGUGAGAGGCACGUGAUUCGAUACCCCACAUCUCCG
This 73-nucleotide transfer RNA is filed under the name Nelumbo nucifera (sacred lotus). It matches the Rfam family "tRNA". Rfam says of the family: Transfer RNA (tRNA) molecules are approximately 80 nucleotides in length. Lineage: Eukaryota; Viridiplantae; Streptophyta; Magnoliopsida; Proteales; Nelumbonaceae. The record is from Rfam by way of RNAcentral.